RNAcentral lists this ribosomal RNA (376 nucleotides) under uncultured bacterium. Its description in RNAcentral is "bacterial SSU rRNA". It matches the Rfam family "Bacterial small subunit ribosomal RNA", at positions 524 to 898 of the family's 1533-position model. The record is from RNAcentral.
AACGUAGGAGACGAGCGUUAUCCGGAUUUACUGGGCGUAAAGCGCGUGCAGGCGGCUUGGCAAGUUGGAUGUGAAAUCUCCCGGCUCAACUGGGAGGGGUCGUUCAAAACUACCGAGCUAGAGGAUGGUAGAGGAAGGUGGAAUUCCCGGUGUAGUGGUGAAAUGCGUAGAUAUCGGGAGGAACACCAGUGGCGAAAGCGGCCUUCUGGACCAUUCCUGACGCUCAGACGCGAAAGCUAGGGGAGCGAACGGGAUUAGAGACCCCGGUAGUCCUAGCUGUAAACGAUGCAAACUUGGCGUCGGUGGGUUAAAAACCAUCGGUGCCGUAGCUAACGCGAUAAGUUUGCCGCCUGGGGACUACGGCCGCAAGGUUAAA